This 253-nucleotide ribosomal RNA is filed under the name uncultured bacterium. RNAcentral describes it as "partial 16S ribosomal RNA". It matches the Rfam family "Bacterial small subunit ribosomal RNA", at positions 524 to 776 of the family's 1533-position model. The record is from RNAcentral.
UACAGAGGGUGCAAGCGUUAAUCGGAAUUACUGGGCGUAAAGCGUGCGCAGGCGGUUAUGUAAGACAGGUGUGAAAUCCCCGGGCUUAACCUGGGAACUGCAUUUGUGACUGCACGGCUAGAGUGUGUCAGAGGGGGGUAGAAUUCCACGUGUAGCAGUGAAAUGCGUAGAGAUGUGGAGGAAUACCGAUGGCGAAGGCAGCCCCCUGGGAUAACACUGACGCUCAUGCACGAAAGCGUGGGGAGCAAACAGG